This 562-nucleotide ribosomal RNA is filed under the name Helotiales sp. OTU12 TS-2013. RNAcentral's name for it is "eukaryotic LSU rRNA". It matches the Rfam family "Eukaryotic large subunit ribosomal RNA", at positions 62 to 648 of the family's 3401-position model. Lineage: Eukaryota; Fungi; Ascomycota; Leotiomycetes; Helotiales. The record is from RNAcentral.
AAACCAACAGNGAUUNCCUUAGUAACNGCGAGUGAAGCGGUAAAUGCUCAAAUUUGAAAGCUGCCAACAGGCCGCGUUGUAAUUUGUAGAAGAUGCUUUGGGUGUCGGCCCAGUCUAAGUUCCUUGGNACAGGACGUCAUAGAGGGUGAGAAUCCCGUAUGUGAUUGGUGCCGUCCCCCGUGUAAAGCUCUUUCGACGAGUCGAGUUGUUUGGGAAUGCAGCUCAAAAUGGGUGGUAAAUUUCAUCUAAAGCUAAAUAUUGGCCAGAGACCGAUAGCGCACAAGUAGAGUGAUCGAAAGAUGAAAAGCACUUUGGAAAGAGAGUUAAACAGUACGUGAAAUUGUUGAAAGGGAAGCGCUUGCAAUCAGACUUGCAGGCGGUCGAUCAUCCGAGGUUCUCCCCGGUGCACNCGAUCGUCUUCAGGCCAGCAUCGGUUUCCGUGGUGGGAUAAAGGCUGUGAGAACGUAGCUCUUCGGAGUGUUAUAGCUCACGGUGCAAUGCCGCCUACGGGGACCGAGGACCGCGCUUCGGCUAGGAUGCUGGCGUAAUGGUUGUAAGCGAC